Molecule: ribosomal RNA, 1208 nt
Filed under: uncultured stramenopile
Lineage: Eukaryota
Description: SSU rRNA
Rfam family: Eukaryotic small subunit ribosomal RNA
Source: RNAcentral
CGGUAAUUCCAGCUCCAAUAGCGUAUACUAACGUUGUUGCAGUUAAAAAGCUCGUAGUUGGAUUUCUGAUCUUUGCCAAUGGUUGUGUCGCCGCGUGCGAGGCGCCUUGCGCAGAGGUCAACAUAUGUCACGAGCCAGUGUGGUCUAUUCAUUUAGGUCCACUGGGUAAUGACUCGUUUACUUUGAGAAAAUUAGAGUGUUCAAAGCAGGCAUUUGCCUUGAAUAUGUUAGCAUGGAAUAAUAGCAUAGGACUUCGGUUCUAUUUGUUGGUUGUUCGAGAACUGGAGUAAUGAUUGAUAGGGACGGUUGGGGGCAUCCGUAUUCUCAAGCGAGAGGUGAAAUUCUUGGACCUUGGGAAGACGAACAGCUGCGAAAGCGUUUGCCUAGGACGUUCUCUUUAAUUAAGAACGAAAGUUGGGGGAUCGAAGACGAUCAGAUACCGUCGUAGUCUCAACUAUAAACUAUGCCAGCUAGGGAUCGGUGGGUCUUUGUCACGAGUCCAUCGGCACCUUACGAGAAAUCAAAGCAUUUGGGUUCCGGGGGGAGUAUGGUCGCAAGGCUGAAGCUUAAAGGAAUUGACGGAAGGGCACCACCAGGAGUGGAGCCUGUGGCUUAAUUUGACUCAACACGGGAAAACUUACCAGGUCCGGACAUAGUAAGGAUUGACAGAUUGAAAGCUCUUUCUUGAUUCUAUGGGUGGUGGUGCAUGGCCGUUCUUAGUUGGUGGAGUGAUUUGUCUGGUUAAUUCCGUUAACGAACGAGACCCGCGCCUGCUAAAUAGUCGGCCUCACUUCUGUGGGUGUUGUACUUCUUAGAGGGACCAUCCUGGGUAUACCGGAAGGAAGUUGCGGGCAAUAACAGGUCUGUGAUGCCCUUAGAUGUUCUGGGCUGCACACGGGCUACACUGCAAGAUACAACAAGCGUCGAUCACGCCUGACUGGAAGGUCCGGCCAAUCUUUGAAUAUCUUGCGUGAUUGGGAUAGACCAUUGCAAUUAUUGGUCUUCAACGAGGAAUUCCUAGUAAACGCGUGUCAACAACACGCAUUGAUUACGUCCCUGCCCUUUGUACACACCGCCCGUCGCUCCUACCGAUUGGAUGUUUCGAUGAGCCGUUUGGAGGACUAAGCUGAAAGCGUCAGCCGGAAGCUACGUCCGAAAUUCUGCAAAUCUGAAUAUCUAGAGGAAGGAGAAGUCGUAACAGGGUAACC